GUGAACGCUGGCGGUAGGCCUAACACAUGCAAGUCGAACGGCAGCACAGUAAGAGCUUGCUCUUACGGGUGGCGAGUGGCGGACGGGUGAGGAAUACAUCGGAAUCUACUUUUUCGUGGGGGAUAACGUAGGGAAACUUACGCUAAUACCGCAUACGACCUACGGGUGAAAGCAGGGGAUCUUCGGACCUUGCGCGAUUGAAUGAGCCGAUGUCGGAUUAGCUAGUUGGCGGGGUAAAGGCCCACCAAGGCGACGAUCCGUAGCUGGUCUGAGAGGAUGAUCAGCCACACUGGAACUGAGACACGGUCCAGACUCCUACGGGAGGCAGCAGUGGGGAAUAUUGGACAAUGGGCGCAAGCCUGAUCCAGCCAUACCGCGAGGGUGAAGAAGGCCUUCGGGUUGUAAAGCCCUUUUGUUGGGAAAGAAAAGCAGCAGGUUAAUACCCCGCUGUUCUGACGGUACCCAAAGAAUAAGCACCGGCUAACUUCGUG
Molecule: ribosomal RNA, 491 nt
Filed under: uncultured bacterium
Lineage: Bacteria
Description: partial 16S ribosomal RNA
Rfam family: Bacterial small subunit ribosomal RNA
Source: RNAcentral